Molecule: ribosomal RNA, 560 nt
Filed under: Exiguobacterium sp. T1B1c.6-B
Lineage: Bacteria; Bacillati; Bacillota; Bacilli; Caryophanales
Description: bacterial SSU rRNA
Rfam family: Bacterial small subunit ribosomal RNA
Source: RNAcentral
GGUGAGUAACACGUGGGUAACCUGCCCCUUAGACUGGGAUAACAUUCGGAAACGGAUGCUAAUACCGGAUACACAACUUGGUCGCAUGGCCGAGUUGGGAAAGACGGAGCAAUCUGUCACUAAGGGAUGGACCUGCGGCGCAUUAGCUAGUUGGUGAGGUAACGGCUCACCAAGGCGACGAUGCGUAGCCGACCUGAGAGGGUGAUCGGCCACACUGGGACUGAGACACGGCCCAGACUCCUACGGGAGGCAGCAGUAGGGAAUCUUCCGCAAUGGACGAAAGUCUGACGGAGCAACGCCGCGUGAGUGAUGAAGGUUUUCGGAUCGUAAAGCUCUGUUGCCAGGGAAGAAUGCUUGGGAGAGUAACUGCUCUCAAGGUGACGGUACCUGAGAAGAAAGCCCCGGCUAACUACGUGCCAGCAGCCGCGGUAAUACGUAGGGGGGGCAAGCGUUGUCCGGGAAUUAUUGGGCGUAAAGCGCGCGCAGGCGGGCCUUGUAAGUCUGUUGUUUAACUCGGAGCUCAACUCCGAGUCGCAAUGGAAACUGCAAAGCUUGAGUGC